This 416-nucleotide long non-coding RNA is filed under the name Pan troglodytes (chimpanzee). RNAcentral's name for it is "lincRNA". Lineage: Eukaryota; Metazoa; Chordata; Mammalia; Primates; Hominidae. The record is from RNAcentral.
GGCUCCCGGGCCUCCUGCUCGGCCUCUGCGCUGCUAGAUCCCCCGGGAGUUGAUGUGGCCGGCGCUGGACCCGAGCCUCGCCUGGGUGGACAAAGUGGCCCCCGGCCCCCCAUCAAAGCCCGCGUGGGCCCCAUCCCCCGAGGGCAGUCCCAGGCCCAGCGCGGACACUGGGCGCCUGGGGCGGCGCAGAUACAGAGUAGAAGCGGCGACUGUUGCUCCCGAGCUCCGCGCUCCGGAUACAAUGUGUCUGGCGCCUCCGACCCGCCCGCUCGGCGUCUAGACAAUCUCAGAGAAAACCCCUGUGCGCCGAUUUUGCGCUACAGAUAAGCGAUUUUCUCCUGUAGCAAAGCUACUAGCAGCCAAUUUCCAUGCAUUUGAGAGGCAAAAAGACAAAAUAAAACAAAACGUGAAUUGGG